Myotis daubentonii (Daubenton's bat) is the source of this 156-nucleotide small nuclear RNA. RefSeq annotates it as U1 spliceosomal RNA. Lineage: Eukaryota; Metazoa; Chordata; Mammalia; Chiroptera; Vespertilionidae. The record is from RefSeq and is a predicted model, not a curated record.
AUACUUGCCUGGCAGGGGAGAUACCAUGAUCACGAAGGUGGUUUUCUCAGGGUGAGGCUUAUUUAUUGCACUGUGAUGUGCUGACCCCUGUGAUUUCCUCAAAUGUGGGGAAUUCUGCAUAAUUUGUGGUAGUGGGGGACUGCGUGCUCUCCUGUG